This 253-nucleotide ribosomal RNA is filed under the name uncultured bacterium. RNAcentral's name for it is "partial 16S ribosomal RNA". It matches the Rfam family "Bacterial small subunit ribosomal RNA", at positions 524 to 776 of the family's 1533-position model. The record is from RNAcentral.
UACGAAGGGGGCUAGCGUUGUUCGGAAUUACUGGGCGUAAAGCGCACGUAGGCGGGUCGAUCAGUCAGGGGUGAAAUCCCAGGGCUCAACCCUGGAACUGCCUUUGAUACUGUCGAUCUGGAGUAUGGAAGAGGUGAGUGGAAUUCCGAGUGUAGAGGUGAAAUUCGUAGAUAUUCGCAAGAACACCAGUGGCGAAGGCGGCUCACUGGCCCGAUACUGACGCUGAGGCACGAAAGCGUGGGGAGCAAACAGG